This 1632-nucleotide long non-coding RNA is filed under the name Homo sapiens (human). RNAcentral's name for it is "HSALNT0377770". Lineage: Eukaryota; Metazoa; Chordata; Mammalia; Primates; Hominidae. The record is from RNAcentral.
CAUCCAAUGGAGAAUGGCAUGUAAUGACAUCACAAUUAGUUACUACUCAAUGUUGAUUGCAGUGAACUGCCCUAUUGACCCAAGUGUGUAAGGGGAUGAAGUGACUGCUGUGAUAAUUACUAUGAGUACCUCAAAGACUGAGAGCUCCAGUCCAAGAGGCCCUUUGCUGAUUCCAACCGCAACAUCCAACAUCGGCCACUAAUUCAGCCAGCUGGUAAGAUCUGCCCUCACCUGCUGUUCUUACAGUACCUGGGGAAAGUGAGGUCUGCUGUCCCAGUCCUUGGAGGACCAGUGGGACUAAGCUGGAAGAAAUCUUGGGUAUGUCCAGUUUCUUCUCAGCUUGACGUCCUCUUGAGAAAGAGGAUUCCAGGUUUCUGUCUUUUGUCUGGGGACAACUGGAACAAAAACAGACACCCUCGGCUUCUUCUUGCCAGUCUACAUGGGUGCCAAACAAUCCCACAUUCCUCAUCCUCUCCACUGGGCUGUCUCCUUCACAACCUCGCCAAACUUGACAUAUGCAUUUAGUUUUUUAUUGCAACAUGGCCUGGACCCAAUACAAAUUAAAUAAUGACAGCUGAUGGCCCAAAAAUGGCACCUUUAACUUUCAAAUUCUCAGGGACCUUGACAACUUUAUAACCAGGAACAGUAAAUGGCAAGAGGUUCUCUAUAUUCAGGCUUUCUUCUACCUUAUAUCCCAACCCUCCCUGUGUCAAGCUUGUACCCCUCAUGAAAUCCUUUUUCUUAAUGAAAACCCUCCCUGGGUCUCUCCUUCCUCCAAAACUUCUUCCUUCAAAACUCCUUCCUCCGAAAUCCCUUUUGACCCUGCAGAUGAAUCCCCUCCGUAUUCUCAUCCCCCUGCAUCAUGAUGCUCCUCAUCUGUCUGAACUCUCUGCCCCGGUGUCCCGCCCUGCCCCCAAGCCCUCAGCCCCAAAUCCCACUCCUCCUCCUUCUCCACCUGCUACCCAUUCAAAAACCAUCUCUGCUAUUCUCUGUUUCUGAGAAGUGGCUAGGUUUGAAGGCACUGCUCGCAUUCAUAUGCCUUUUUCCAUGUCUGAUUUGUCACAGAUCAAACAGCAUCUGGGAUCUUUCCCGGAAAAUCCCCCUCAUUAUCUCAGGGAAUUCCUGGCACAUAACCUAAUCCUUUAAUUUAACUUGGCAUGAUAUUUAUAUAAUUCUAACUUCCACCCUCACCCCGAUGAAAAAGAGUGCUCAGCUUAAUUAAAAUGAAUAUCCAAGCUGAGUAUAUUCAAAAGGCCUUUAUGUUUUUCUCUUCAUAAAUCUUGUUUUCCUGGAAAAGGUUUUUUCCCAGUUAACUGAAUUACUUUUGUCCACUUUGUCUUCCCAUUCUUGGUGCAUGUAUGAAGAACACUAAAAUGACUUCUGGUGUCCUGGGACUCAUUGGGAAAACAGAAAAGGCACCAAAAAUCCUGUUUCAGGAAAAAUCUGUUUUCCUCACAGAACCCCUGGAAUUAGAGGUGGAUAAGUACUUCUCAAAAUCAUCUUUGUCUUCCAGCUAUACUUGUUUAUUAGGCCCUGGAAACUGUUUUCCUAGCCCUGUUUUGUUUUGUUUUUUUCUGAGAUGGAGUCUUGCUCUGUCACCAGGUUGGAGUGCAGUGGCACGAUCUCAGCUCA